Homo sapiens (human) is the source of this 2078-nucleotide RNA transcript. It is a transcript of the gene named mitochondrial ribosomal protein L49, with no coding region annotated. The record is from RefSeq and is marked reviewed. NCBI's taxonomy places the organism in Eukaryota, Metazoa, Chordata, Mammalia, Primates, Hominidae. The transcript is spliced from 4 exons.
ACUGCUGAGCGACCGCGCGGUUCCCUGCUAUUUGUACCGCCCAAGGCAGUCCUAGCUCCGCCCCUUUACGCUCGCACCGGCGAACCUGCCUGGGCAGGCAGCUCGCGCAGGACGGGGCGGGACCAGACAGUUGCGCGCACAGAAGGCUGGCGUAGCAGAGCCAGACCCAGGGCCCUCCAGAUUACCCCAGGUUUGUGGAGUCUGUGGAUGAAUAUCAGUUUGUGGAGCGCCUGUUACCGGCUACCAGGAUCCCAGAUCCCCCAAAGCAUGAACAUUAUCCUACCCCUAGUGGCUGGCAGCCUCCCAGAGACCCCCCACCCAACCUGCCUUACUUUGUACGACGCUCUCGGAUGCACAACAUCCCCGUCUACAAGGACAUCACGCAUGGCAACCGGCAGAUGACUGUGAUCCGGAAAGUGGAAGGGGACAUCUGGGCCCUGCAGAAAGACGUGGAAGAUUUUCUGAGCCCGCUGCUGGGGAAGACACCUGUCACCCAGGUCAAUGAGGUGACAGGUACCCUACGGAUCAAGGGCUACUUUGACCAGGAGCUUAAAGCCUGGCUCUUGGAGAAAGGCUUCUGAGGCCCAGCCGAGCAGCCUGCUUGUCAGCAUGCCCUGUGGAUCAAGUCUAGGGGGCCUCAGGAGGAGGGAGGUGGGUGUUGGAGCCCCUGAGACAGGGGAUACAGAAACUAGGGCUAAAGGACUUUGGGGUCAGGCCUUGCUUGCAUAAAGGAGAAAACAACUCUAUGUACAUGCUGGGGGAGAGUGCCUAAUGUGGGAGACCAAAUAGGGAUCACCAGGCUAAUGGGGGGCGUCAGCAGCUUUCUCUCCCUCCUAUCUUGGCCUGUUCUUUUUUGUUUUUUGAGACGGAGUCUCACUCUGUUGCCCAGGGUGGAGUGCAGUGGCAUGAUCUUGGCUCACUGCAACUUCCACCUCUGGGAUCAAGGGAUUCUCCUGCCUCAGCCUCUUGAGUAGCUGGGAUUACAGGCGCCCACCACCACAGCCUGCUAAUUUUUGUAUUUUUAGUAGAGAUGGGGUUUCACCAUGUUGGCCAGGCUGGUCUCAAACUCCUGACUCGAAGUGAUCCGCCCACCUUGGCCUCCCAAAGCGUUGGGAUUAUAGGCAUGAGCCAUGUGCCUGGUCCACCUUGGCCUGUUUUGUUUUUCUUUCCUUGGGCUCAGCAAUUCAAAUUCUAGUUGUUAUUUGGUGGAAGCAGUAGCCCAACCCCAGUUUAGGGGAAGGUAGCACAGGGCAGAGCCACUGGGCACUUUGUUUCCUUGGCCCUCCGAAGCUCACUGUUGCAAAUACCCCCAAGCCUUUGCUCUAGGCCAGAUCUUGUUUGGUGCAGGUGAUGGAGAACACAGAUGACUCGGGCAUGGGUCUUGGAGAUCUUCUGUUCAAAGUACAGUGCUGGCACUGGGGCACAGAGUGCCCACGUUAGCCCCGGGCUCUGAUAGAGAGGUAGGAGGCACGUUCUUGGUCACUGUUCCAUUGCAGACCAGACUUGCUGGCCUGACCACAAGGGAGUGGCUGGGAACUCACAGCCAGCAUAGGGACAUCCCCCUGCAGCCUUCUGACCUGCAAUCAAGGCUGGGGAGGGGUUUGCAGGCAGGAAUAUGCUGACCUUUCACCCUGCCAUCCCAUCCCAACCCCAGCUCACUAGCCUUCAUAUAUGCCUUAUACUUGGAGUCACAGGGGCCAAAGGCCUGAGACCCCACCCUGCCCCCAAACUGGCUAAGACAGCUUUCAGUUCCUGACUCCCCAACUUGGUCUCUGCCCUGAAGCAGGGCACUGAACUCUGGGCUGCUUCUCUGUGUGUAAAAUGGGCACAUCUUCCUAAUCUGUUAAUGGUCAGUGGUGUCCCCAAGGAUAGUGCUGGCUUCCAUGGAAACCCUCACUCCUGGAGAUUCCAUUCCAUUUUCAAGUGUACAGCCACAGCAAGGAGCCCGACACUGAUUUGAUCGAUUCUGUGACACAAACCCCACCAAUUGUUAAUGCAAGUUUUUAUUUGGCUGUAUAUACAAUUUAAGCUAUUAAAAUUUGUACAAUAUUUACAAAUUAAAUAAUCAUCUGAAACUG